CACGUAGGCGGACCGUUAAGUCGGGGGUGAAAUCCUGGGGCUCAACCUCAGAAUUGCCUUCGAUACUGGCGGUCUUGAGUACGGGAGAGAUGAGUGGAAUUCCCAGUGUAGAGGUGAAAUUCGUAGAUAUUGGGAAGAACACCAGUGGCGAAGGCGGCUCACUGGCCCGUAACUGACGCUGAGGUGCGAAAGCGUGGGGAGCAAACA
Molecule: ribosomal RNA, 207 nt
Filed under: uncultured bacterium
Lineage: Bacteria
Description: partial 16S ribosomal RNA
Rfam family: Bacterial small subunit ribosomal RNA
Source: RNAcentral